Molecule: regulatory RNA element, 102 nt
Rfam family: SAM riboswitch aptamer (S box leader)
About the family: The SAM riboswitch is found upstream of a number of genes which code for proteins involved in methionine or cysteine biosynthesis in Gram-positive bacteria. The SAM riboswitch acts at the level of transcription termination control.
Source: Rfam
UUCUUAUCAAGAGCAGACGGAGGGACGAGCCCUACGAUGUCGCAGCAACCGACCACUUGGCACGGUGCUAAUUCUUGCAGCUAUUACGCUGACAGAUAAGAG